RNAcentral lists this ribosomal RNA (301 nucleotides) under uncultured bacterium. RNAcentral's name for it is "partial 16S ribosomal RNA". It matches the Rfam family "Bacterial small subunit ribosomal RNA", at positions 509 to 807 of the family's 1533-position model. The record is from RNAcentral.
CAGCCGCCGCGGUAAUACGAAUGGUGCAAGCGUUAAUCGGAAUUACUGGGCGUAAAGCGUGCGUAGGCGGUGAGUUAAGUCUGCUGUGAAAUCCCCGGGCUCAACCUGGGAAUGGCAGUGGAUACUGGCUCGCUAGAGUGUGUCAGAGGAUGGUGGAAUUCCCGGUGUAGCGGUGAAAUGCGUAGAUAUGCGGAGGAACACCGAUGGCGAAGGCAGCCCCCUGGGCCAAUACUGACGCUCAUGCACGAAAACGUGGGGAGCAAACAGGAUUAGAGACCCCUGUAGUCCCUGUCUCUUAUAC